Acanthosepion pharaonis is the source of this 114-nucleotide non-coding RNA. Lineage: Eukaryota; Metazoa; Mollusca; Cephalopoda; Sepiida; Sepiidae. The record is from the annotation of a GenBank genome assembly.
UUGCGAUCAGAUUACGUUGAAACACAGGUUAUCGUACGAUCACCGACGUUAAGCAACGUCGAGCCUGGUCAGUACCUAGAUGGGUGUCUGCUUGGAAAUGCCAGGUUCUGUAAG